Molecule: ribosomal RNA, 253 nt
Filed under: uncultured bacterium
Lineage: Bacteria
Description: partial 16S ribosomal RNA
Rfam family: Bacterial small subunit ribosomal RNA
Source: RNAcentral
UACGAAGGGGGGAAGCGUUGUCCGGGUUUACUGGGCUUAAAGGGCGCGUAGGCGGGCGGGUAAGUCUGGGGUGAAAUUCUUUCGCUCAACGGGGGCGGUGCCCUGGAUACUGCCGGUCGUGAGGCGGGAAGAGGAUGGUGGAAUGCGUGGGGUAGCGGUGAAAUGCGUAGAGAUCAGGCAGAACACCGAUUGCGAAGGCAGGCAACUGGGCCCGAACUGACGCUGAGGCACGAAAGCGUGGGGAUCAAACAGG